This 324-nucleotide ribosomal RNA is filed under the name uncultured Clostridium sp. RNAcentral describes it as "bacterial SSU rRNA". It matches the Rfam family "Bacterial small subunit ribosomal RNA", at positions 28 to 339 of the family's 1533-position model. The record is from RNAcentral. Lineage: Bacteria; Bacillati; Bacillota; Clostridia; Eubacteriales; Clostridiaceae.
GAUGAACGCUGGCGGCGUGCUUAACACAUGCAAGUCGAACGGAGCUUAUUUGGAAAGCUUGCUUUUCGUUUAAGCUUAGUGGCGGACGGGUGAGUAACGCGUGAGCAACCUGCCCCGAAGUGGGGAAUAACACCGAGAAAUCGGUGCUAAUACCGCAUAAUGUCGGAGGACCGCAUGAUCUUCCGACCAAAGGAUUUAUUCGCUUUGGGAUGGGCUCGCGUCCGAUUAGGCAGUUGGCGGGGUAACGGCCCACCAAACCGACGAUCAGUAGGGGUUCUGAGAGGAAGGUCCCCCACAUUGGUACUGAGACACGGACCAAACUCC